This is a small nucleolar RNA of Dipodomys ordii (Ord's kangaroo rat), 137 nucleotides long. Lineage: Eukaryota; Metazoa; Chordata; Mammalia; Rodentia; Heteromyidae. The record is from Ensembl.
UUGGCCCUGAAUCAAAGCCAACAGUUUGGUGAAGCUGUUUUGGUUUCAAGCAGGAGCCUAAAGAAUGUCUUUCUUGGUCUGUUGGCCAUUUCAGAACUUUGGAAAUGUAAUGGUCAGUUCAUUAGAAAGAAACAUUG